Molecule: ribosomal RNA, 450 nt
Filed under: uncultured bacterium
Lineage: Bacteria
Description: partial 16S ribosomal RNA
Rfam family: Bacterial small subunit ribosomal RNA
Source: RNAcentral
UUACCAGACUCCUACGGGAGGCAGCAGUGGGGGAUAUUGCACAAUGGGGGGAACCCUGAUGCAGCGACGCCGCGUGGGUGAAGGAGUAUUUCGGUAUGUAAAGCCCUAUCGGCAGGGAAGAAGCAAGACGGUACCUGACUAAGAAGCCCCGGCUAACUACGUGCCAGCAGCCGCGGUAAUACGUAGGGGGCGAGCGUUAUCCGGAUUCACUGGGCGUAAAGGGAGCGUAGACGGCCAAGCAAGCCAGGGGUGAAAGCCCGGGGCCCAACCCCGGGACUGCUCUUGGAACUGCGCGGCUGGAGUGCAGGAGGGGCAGGCGGAAUUCCCGGUGUAGCGGUGAAAUGCGUAGAUAUCAGGAGGAACACCGGUGGCGAAGGCGGCUUACUGGACGAUGACUGACGCUGAGGCUCGAAAGCGUGGGGAGCAAACAGGAUUAGAUACCCGAGUAUG